This is a long non-coding RNA of Apis cerana (Asiatic honeybee), 691 nucleotides long. RefSeq lists it as uncharacterized. The record is from RefSeq and is a predicted model, not a curated record. NCBI's taxonomy places the organism in Eukaryota, Metazoa, Arthropoda, Insecta, Hymenoptera, Apidae.
UUGGCAUUGGCGGUGAUCAAGCGUGGCGGAAAUUCGUCCUCGACCAGGCAAGGGUCUCUACUCGACGGAGGCAAUGACAUUGUGGCCAAUGCCAGGAUGUAUCGGCAGAUGCCUAAAGCGUACACUCUUCUCUCGUAGAUCCACUCAAGACUACAGGAAUAACAUUUUAAAAUUCCAAUGACACUUGCAUAUGAAGCAAGAUUCAUCCGACCAAUUCAACGAAACAUCUGGAUCUCGUUCUGGACCAAUCACGUGUUCUUUAGUCAGACAUUCAAGGGAAAGGUUGUUGCAUACAUCUUUGGUUUUAUGCGUGUUUCACAGUGAAAGAAUGUUCGAACGAUAUGUCUGAGACUCGCAAGAGGCUAUUUAUCGAAGAAAAAAAGAGAAAAGAACGUGACAUACCGGAUUCAGUGAAGCAGUUAAGAAGGCUAUGGUUUUUCUGCUUCUCUUUAGAAGGCAAUCGCGUGGGCAGAUCAUUAUUCGCGUCUGUGUGAAAUUGUUGUCGAGUAUUGCGGCUGAUAACUCGUUCUUGGAAUAAAUUGAUUCCAUCGAUUGACUACAUUAUCUUGUUCUUCGGUUCAAAACAAAUUUUUUUUUUAUGAAAAUUUCAUAUCGGGAGAAUAAUUGGAUAUUUUUUUUAAAUAAAUAAAUUUAACGACAAUAGAACUUUUAAUUAAAUGUAUUUAAAAUA